AUUGAACGCUGGCGGAAUGCUUUACACAUGCAAGUCGAACGGCAGCACGGACUUCGGUCUGGUGGCGAGUGGCGAACGGGUGAGUAAUGUAUCGGAACGUGCCCAGUCGUUGGGGAUAACGUAGUGAAAAUUACGCUAAUACCGCCUACGAUCUGUGGAUGAAAGCGGGGGAUCGCAAGACCUCGCGCGAUUCGAGCGGCCGACAUCAGAUUAGGUAGUUGGUGAGGUAAAGGCCCACCAAGCCAACGAUCUGUAGCUGGUCUGAGAGGACGACCAGCCACACUGGAACUGAGACACGGUCCAGACUCCGACGGGAGGCAGCAGUGGGGAAUUUUGGACAAUGGGCGAAAGCCUGAUCCAGCCAUUCCGCGUGCAGGAUGAAGGCCCUCGGGUUGUAAACUGCUUUUGUACAGAACGAAAAGGUUUCUACUAAUACUAGGAGCUCAUGACGGUACUGUAAGAAUAAGCACCGGCUAACUACGUGCCAGCCGCCGCCGUAA
RNAcentral lists this ribosomal RNA (500 nucleotides) under uncultured bacterium. RNAcentral describes it as "partial 16S ribosomal RNA". It matches the Rfam family "Bacterial small subunit ribosomal RNA", at positions 30 to 523 of the family's 1533-position model. The record is from RNAcentral.